Long non-coding RNA from Camellia sinensis, 654 nucleotides. RefSeq lists it as uncharacterized. The record is from RefSeq and is a predicted model, not a curated record. NCBI's taxonomy places the organism in Eukaryota, Viridiplantae, Streptophyta, Magnoliopsida, Ericales, Theaceae.
GUUACUGAUUUCAUGGAUGGAAAAACUGCAGCUUGUUUGGUAUUAUUAGUGUUACUGAUAAGUGCUUGGAGGCCCUGUCAAGGUUCUGCUCAAACACACUUACAACCCUCGAUGUGAAUGGAUGCAUUGGCAUCAAGAGACAAAGUCGUGAAGAACUGCUUCAAUUGUUCCCACAUCUGAGAUGCUUCAAAGUGCACAGCUAAAGUUAUAUGCUUUAUGAAGUCAUAAUCAUUUCCUGCCAUCGACGUUCAUGAUGCUGUCUUGCAGAAAUGUUGCCGAUAUGCAGUUAAUUCAUUAGAGAUAGAAAAUACUCAAGAUGUUCAAUAAACAGAUGAGAUUGAUACACAAGAUAUUUGAUAAACAGAUGAGAUUGAUACAUGACAUGUGAUUUGAUAGAUGUAACCUUACUAAAUGAGCCGUCCUAUUUUGGGUAGUUAAUUAUGAGAAGAGUAUAUUUUUUAAUUAUAUGCAAGUAAAAAUUAUAAUCAAGGAAGCAGGGGAAAUUAAAAUAUGCUCCUGUGACUAUUGUGAUGUUACCACUCUACAGUUAUUUUUUAAGGUUACCACAAAGGUGGUUGAAGAUGUUAUUUUUAGUUGACAACAGAGUGAUGGUUAAUAUUGUUGUUUCUAUAUUUGAUUCUGAGAUUUUCCUAU